AGAGUUUGAUCAUGGCUCAGAUUGAACGCUGGCGGCAGGCUUAACACAUGCAAGUCGAGCGGUAACAGGAAUAGCUUGCUAUUUGCUGACGAGCGGCGGACGGGUGAGUAAUGCUUGGGAAUAUGCCUUAUGGUGGGGGACAACAGUUGGAAACGACUGCUAAUACCGCAUAAUGUCUACGGACCAAAGGGGGGGAUCUUCGGACCUCUCGCCAUUUGAUUAGCCCAAGUGAGAUUAGCUAGUUGGUAAGGUAACGGCUUACCAAGGCGACGAUCUCUAGCUGGUUUGAGAGGAUGAUCAGCCACACUGGGACUGAGACACGGCCCAGACUCCUACGGGAGGCAGCAGUGGGGAAUAUUGCACAAUGGGGGAAACCCUGAUGCAGCCAUGCCGCGUGUGUGAAGAAGGCCUUCGGGUUGUAAAGCACUUUCAGUUGUGAGGAAAGGUGUGUAGUUAAUAGCUGCAUACUGUGACGUUAACAACAGAAGAAGCACCGGCUAACUUCGUGCCAGCAGCCGCGGUAAUACGAGGGGUGCAAGCGUUAAUCGGAAUUACUGGGCGUAAAGCGUUCGUAGGCGGUUGAAUAAGCAAGAUGUGAAAGCCCAGGGCUCAACCUUGGAACUGCAUUUUGAACUGUUCGACUAGAGUACUGUAGAGGGGGGUAGAAUUUCA
RNAcentral lists this ribosomal RNA (672 nucleotides) under uncultured Vibrionaceae bacterium. Its description in RNAcentral is "bacterial SSU rRNA". It matches the Rfam family "Bacterial small subunit ribosomal RNA", at positions 8 to 671 of the family's 1533-position model. Lineage: Bacteria; Pseudomonadati; Pseudomonadota; Gammaproteobacteria; Vibrionales; Vibrionaceae. The record is from RNAcentral.